Molecule: long non-coding RNA, 889 nt
Filed under: Nicotiana tabacum (common tobacco)
Lineage: Eukaryota; Viridiplantae; Streptophyta; Magnoliopsida; Solanales; Solanaceae
Description: long non-coding RNA (NTAB_LNC011875)
Source: RNAcentral
UGAAAUCCAAAAAAAUACAGAAAACUGCAAAAAAAAUCACAGGAGAUUUGGAAAAGCUAGAAAUCUAGAAAACUUCUUUGAUUUUCUAAAGUAGUUUUCUGAUUCACAUAGAUUUAACAUGGUUUGAGUUUAAUUUCCGGAAAAUUUUGGGUCAAGCUGUGUUAAAAUUACUGUUCUAUUGGACUUAUAAUCGAUUCUGUGGGUUCAAUUUCUUCAAUCCGGGGUUGUGUUGUAGCUGGUAUUGCUGCUUAUCUGCUGAUACUAUCUUGUUGUGCUGAUCCCCAUCGUUUCUCUUAUUUUUCUCUCCAGGUACACAUUUUCUGAAUUUAAAGCCAUGUAUGAAGUUUUGACUUGCAGAAUGAAAUGAAAUAGCUCCAAUAUGUCUUGGCUCCUUAGAUCAGUGCUACUGUUUCCGUGUCCUAUGAUUUGUUAUUUACUUAGUACAGUGACGGUUUAUUAUGAUGGCUGUAACUAAUAGGUUGCUAACAUGAAAAUUAGCUGCAACAAUUAUUGUUUGACUAGUUGCAUAGUAGUUUAAUAGGAAUGGGAAAGACACUCAGCUGAAUUAUGUUGGUUAAACAAUCAUACAGUUUUUUUUGUGCUUUUGGGUAUGAGUUUCGCUGCAUCUGCUCUUUUAUUGUUUAUAUUUUUGCAAAUUAUGGUUUAAUCUCAAGUUGAUUGUGAUGAUUUAAGCAUGUACGCUAUUGAAAAAUGUUUAGGGGAUGAUAAUUGGUAGCUGCAGUUUGUCAAAUUCAGUUUACUGGUGUUUGUACUUGGUCAUUUCACGCAUUAGGGUCUGUCCAUAAAUGUUACAGCUUAACAGAGCCAUCUUUGGGAUUAUGGCUUUAUAGAGGUCAGUUAGUCCCAAGUGUUCGUUGCUCGAAUUGUU